GCAUUGUGUCAAUAAUAAGUGUUGCUGUGAAGAGAACAAUAGUCAGACUGAAUGUUGAACAUCAGCUAGUUUCUCCUGCUGAUUUAAACCUUGUUGGACAGAUGGAACAUUGGCUGUGGAUUAUUCUAGCUGCUCUUUUCUUUGAGUGUAAAGGAGACUCAGUGACGCAGACAGAAGGACAUGUUGCUGCUGCUAAAGGAGAAUCUGUCACUCUGGGAUGUAUUUUUACAACAAGCUAUACAGGUUAUACCUUGUUCUGGUAUAAGUUAGAAGAAAACAGCUUUCCAAAGUACAUGCUAAAGCAACUUUCUUCAACCAAGGAAAAAGCUCCAGAUUUUAACCACAUCAGAUUCAAUGCUGACCUUGACAGUGACAAGAAAUCCUUUAAUCUGACGAUCCAGGAUCUCCGUCUGUCAGACUCUGCUGUGUACUACUGUGCUCUGCAGCCCACAGUGACAGGAAACACCAGAACUCUGUACAAGAACCUGCAGAGCAAAGACAACACGGCACCCAACAAUAUCCACCAAAGAGCCUUACAGUCUAUGAGAUUGAGUCAGGUUAUUACUCUGAAACCAAACAUCAUUUCUAAUUUGUGAACAACUUUAGAUCAACAAAACAUUCCAAGGAAUAACAACAUGCUUGUUUUAACAAGCAACAAAAUUAGAAAACAUAAAGUUGAACAAGAAUUCAUUUAUGGGUCAUUGUCUUUUCGCUCAUCUGAAAUACACACAUGUUACUGUAAAUUUAUGAAUUGUGAAGCAAAAAAAAAACUCAUUGGAAGGAAUAUACUGCUUAGAAUGCCAAGCUGGGAUAAUGCAAGUCAGUUAUGUUAUUUUCUUGCUGCAUUGGGUAACCUUAUAUAUAGAUUUAUGUGGAAAGUAUGCAUCUGUACAAAUUAAAUCAUCCUGUUACAGAU
This is a non-coding RNA of Cyprinodon tularosa, 916 nucleotides long. NCBI's taxonomy places the organism in Eukaryota, Metazoa, Chordata, Actinopteri, Cyprinodontiformes, Cyprinodontidae. The record is from the annotation of a RefSeq genome assembly.